AUUGAACGCUGGCGGCAGGCCUAACACAUGCAAGUCGAGCGAGCGGCGGACGGGUGAGUAAUGUAUGGGGACUGCCCGAUAGAGGGGGAUAACUACUGGAAACGGUAGCUAAUACCGCAUACUAUCGGAUAACCCAUAUGGGAUUAGCUAGUUGGUGAGGUAAGGGCUCACCUGGGCGACGAUCCCUAGCUGGUCUGAGAGGAUGAUCGGCCACCCUGGAACUGAGACACGGCCCAGACUCCUACGGAGGCAGCAGUGGGGAAUAUUGCACAAUGGGCGAAAGCCUGAUGCAGCCAUGCCGCGUGGGUGAAGAAGGCCCUAGGGUUGUAAAGUACUGUCAGUCGGGAGGCGUUACCGAAAGAAGAAGCACCGGCUAACUCCGUGCCAGCAGCCGCGGUAAUAC
RNAcentral lists this ribosomal RNA (403 nucleotides) under uncultured bacterium. Its description in RNAcentral is "partial 16S ribosomal RNA". It matches the Rfam family "Bacterial small subunit ribosomal RNA", at positions 30 to 526 of the family's 1533-position model. The record is from RNAcentral.